This is a long non-coding RNA of Micropterus dolomieu (smallmouth bass), 458 nucleotides long. RefSeq lists it as uncharacterized. The transcript is spliced from 4 exons. NCBI's taxonomy places the organism in Eukaryota, Metazoa, Chordata, Actinopteri, Centrarchiformes, Centrarchidae. The record is from RefSeq and is a predicted model, not a curated record.
GCGGCAUUCCAAGAUAGUUUUUCUAGUUGGAGGUUGGAAAUUUCCCAGUUCCGAGUUGCUUGGAACGCAGCAUUAGUAAGAUGGGACAAACAUUUCUUCAAUGGCUGAUCUGUAAGAACGAUCUGUUCUGUCCAGAUUUUUGUUAUUAUGCUACUAGCAAGUGUGCAGAGUUUCUUUGCUCUCCCUCUGCUUCCUGAUCUGUCCCUGAGUGGUUGGUGUUUGUAGCCCCAGCACUGUUAGGAACCCUCUAGGAAGCCCCUCCUGCCCUGUGACUGGUGUUUGUUGUGCCUUCAUGGCCCAUCUCACGGGUGUUUAUAUUUUUAGAGCAGGGUGCUAUCUUGUUGGGAGGGUAGGUACCCUGGCAAGGUCCCUUCACUUUUUUGCAGCACUUCCAGCUUCCAGUUUGUUUAUUACUCUUGCUUCAUUAAAAAUAAACACAUUUGGUAUUUUGAAACACA